AGGACGAACGCUGGCGGCGUGCUUAACACAUGCAAGUCGAACGGAAAGGCCCUUCGGGGUACUCGAGUGGCGAACGGGUGAGUAACACGUGAGCAAUCUGCCCCUAGCUCUGGGAUAGCUCCGGGAAACCGGGAUUAAUACCAGAUACAACCACUUUAGACAUCUUUUGUGGUGGAAAGGAUUCCGGCUAGGGAUGAGCUCGCGGCCUAUCAGCUUGUUGGUGGGGUAACGGCCCACCAAGGCGACGACGGGUA
RNAcentral lists this ribosomal RNA (254 nucleotides) under uncultured bacterium. Its description in RNAcentral is "partial small subunit ribosomal RNA". It matches the Rfam family "Bacterial small subunit ribosomal RNA", at positions 26 to 285 of the family's 1533-position model. The record is from RNAcentral.